This 331-nucleotide unclassified non-coding RNA is filed under the name Hevea brasiliensis (rubber tree). Lineage: Eukaryota; Viridiplantae; Streptophyta; Magnoliopsida; Malpighiales; Euphorbiaceae. The record is from RNAcentral.
GUCAAAAAGAGCAUCAGAUAUAGUUCACAGUUUCCAAGAGCAGGAGCUUGCUCAGGUUUUGUGGGCUUUUGCUUCUCUCUACAACAUAGCUGACCCUUUGCUCGAGUCUUUGGAUAAUGUUUUCAAGGACAUUAACCAGCUUCAAUGCUACUUGAUGGCGGAAACAUCAAAUUGUAAUGAAGAGGACAGAAGGGGAGGGAGCGAAGAUCUUGAUAGAGAGGAAGUUUUAGGCCCUCCAGUACUCAGAUUUAAUAGGGAUCAACUUGGUAAUAUAGCUUGGUCAUAUGCUGUUCUUGGACAACUUAACCGGACUUUCUUUUCUAAUGUUUGG